AUUAAGGACGAAAAAUGACGGUACUUAAUGAAUAAGCUCCGGCUAACUACGUGCCAGCAGCCGCGGUAAUACGUAGGGAGCAAGCGUUGUCCGGAUUUACUGGGUGUAAAGGGUGCGUAGGCGGCUUUGCAAGUCAGAUGUGAAAUCUAUGGGCUCAACCCAUAAACUGCAUUUGAAACUGUAGAGCUUGAGUGAAGUAGAGGCAGGCGGAAUUCCCCGUGUAGCGGUGAAAUGCGUAGAGAUGGGGAGGAACACCAGUGGCGAAGGCGGCCUGCUGGGCUUUAACUGACGCUGAGGCACGAAAGCGUGGGUAGCAAACAGGAUUAGAUACCCUGGUAGUCCACGCUGUAAACGAUGAUUACUAGGUGUGGGGGGUCUGACCCCUUCCGUGCCGGAGUUAACACAAUAAGUAAUCCACCUGGGGAGUACGGCCGCAAGGUUGAAACUCAAAGGAAUUGACGGGGGCCCGCACAAGCAGUGGAGUAUGUGGUUUAAUUCGAAGCAACGCG
RNAcentral lists this ribosomal RNA (509 nucleotides) under uncultured bacterium. RNAcentral's name for it is "bacterial SSU rRNA". It matches the Rfam family "Bacterial small subunit ribosomal RNA", at positions 438 to 963 of the family's 1533-position model. The record is from RNAcentral.